UUUCAGACGCAGCGGGAGUUGGAGAAAAGAAUAACCAGAGCACUAGAAGAAGCUGCUACCAAAUUUGAAUGAGGAUCCUGUAGAAAUCCUUUAGUAUCUACUGAUGAUUCAAUUCUAAAUCAAGAUCCAGUAUGGAAAGCGUCACGAGAAUAUGUACAGAUUUUGAACAAAAAUUAUACAAUUUGAAAAAUAAAUAGAAAAAAUUUA
This is a long non-coding RNA of Neofelis nebulosa (Clouded leopard), 207 nucleotides long. RefSeq lists it as uncharacterized. The record is from RefSeq and is a predicted model, not a curated record. The transcript is spliced from 2 exons. Lineage: Eukaryota; Metazoa; Chordata; Mammalia; Carnivora; Felidae.